AGGACGAACGCUGGCGGCGUGCUUAACACAUGCAAGUCGAGCGGAAAGGCCCUCGGGGUACUCGAGCGGCGAACGGGUGAGUAACACGUGAGCAACCUGCCCUUAGCUUCGGGAUAGCUCCGGGAAACCGGAAUUAAAUACCGAAUAUGACUUUGGCUGACAUCAGCAGAAGUGGAAAGUUUUUCGGCUAGGGAUGGACUCGCGGCCUAUCAGCUAGUUGGUGAGGUAACGGCCCACCAAGGCGACGACGGGUA
This 254-nucleotide ribosomal RNA is filed under the name uncultured bacterium. RNAcentral describes it as "partial small subunit ribosomal RNA". It matches the Rfam family "Bacterial small subunit ribosomal RNA", at positions 26 to 285 of the family's 1533-position model. The record is from RNAcentral.